GCCUGCCUAGCUCAAUCGGAUAGAGCGUCAGACUUUUACGAAUGCGAUUUCGCAAUAACGAAAUCUGAAGGCUGCGGGUUCGACCCCCGCGGUGGGCU
Non-coding RNA from Abortiporus biennis, 98 nucleotides. The record is from the annotation of a GenBank genome assembly. Lineage: Eukaryota; Fungi; Basidiomycota; Agaricomycetes; Polyporales; Podoscyphaceae.